Molecule: ribosomal RNA, 253 nt
Filed under: uncultured bacterium
Lineage: Bacteria
Description: partial 16S ribosomal RNA
Rfam family: Bacterial small subunit ribosomal RNA
Source: RNAcentral
UACGUAGGGCGCAAGCGUUGUCCGGAAUUAUUGGGCGUAAAGCGCACGUAGGCGGCUUUGCAAGUCAGAGGUGAAAGCCCGGGGCUCAACCCCGGAAUUGCCUUUGAGACUGCAUCGCUAGAAUUGUGGAGAGGUAAGUGGAAUUCCGAGUGUAGAGGUGAAAUUCGUAGAUAUUCGGAAGAACACCAGUGGCGAAGGCGACUUACUGGACACAUAUUGACGCUGAGGUGCGAAAGCGUGGGGAGCAAACAGG